Molecule: small nuclear RNA, 90 nt
Organism: Oryctolagus cuniculus (rabbit)
Lineage: Eukaryota; Metazoa; Chordata; Mammalia; Lagomorpha; Leporidae
Gene: U2
Rfam family: U2 spliceosomal RNA
About the family: U2 is a small nuclear RNA (snRNA) component of the spliceosome (involved in pre-mRNA splicing). Complementary binding between U2 snRNA (in an area lying towards the 5' end but 3' to hairpin I) and the branchpoint sequence (BPS) of the intron results the bulging out of an unpaired adenosine, on the BPS, which initiates a nucleophilic attack at the intronic 5' splice site, thus starting the first of two transesterification reactions that mediate splicing.
Source: Ensembl
AUCACUUCUCGGCCUUUUGGCUUAGAUCAAGUGUAGUAAAAAGAAUUACAAUUACCAUUACAAAUCAUGAUAUUUGUUAUAUUACCAUAA